GUUAUAGGGUCAAGCGAACAAGUGCAUGUGGUGGAUGCCUUGGCGAUCACAGGCGAUGAAGGACGCGGUAGCCUGCGAAAAGCUACGGGGAGCUGGCAAACGAGCUUUGAUCCGUAGAUGUCCGAAUGGGGAAACCCACUCCUUUUGGAGUAUCCAUGGCUGAAUACAUAGGCCAUGUGAAGCGAACGCGGUGAACUGAAAC
Molecule: ribosomal RNA, 202 nt
Filed under: Burkholderia lata
Lineage: Bacteria; Pseudomonadati; Pseudomonadota; Betaproteobacteria; Burkholderiales; Burkholderiaceae
Also listed under: 1 other name
Description: partial 23S ribosomal RNA
Rfam family: Bacterial large subunit ribosomal RNA
Source: RNAcentral